Molecule: microRNA precursor, 115 nt
Filed under: Bigelowiella natans CCMP2755
Lineage: Eukaryota; Cercozoa; Chlorarachniophyceae
Description: miRNA EPrBNAG00000013434
Source: RNAcentral
GAUGAUGAUGGUGAUGAUGAUGAUGAUUAGGUCCACUUUCAUCUAUGUUUGUGUUAUCUUUAGAACACUAUCUGUAUAUCAUUGUGUGAUAAUCAUCGUCAUCACCAUCAUCAUC